Molecule: non-coding RNA, 140 nt
Organism: Pyrenophora tritici-repentis Pt-1C-BFP
Lineage: Eukaryota; Fungi; Ascomycota; Dothideomycetes; Pleosporales; Pleosporaceae
Source: the annotation of a RefSeq genome assembly
GGUCUCUUGGUCUAGUGGUUAUGACGCUCACUCAGCCCAGUUGUAUAACGUCUGUAAGAUGUCGAAAGGCAUUCUGACCAGACUUGUUGUACGAUGUGGUGGAAUUGUGAGAGACCGGCGUUCAAAUCGUCGAGAGGCUG